UUCCCCCUUGGCCGCCGCCCCCCUGCCCAUCUCCUCCUCUCUCAAUUCUUGCAGCCACCAAACCCUAGCCGCCCCCCCUCUCAAUCCCCUCCUCCCAAGGUGCCAAUCCUUGCCGCUCGGAUCAUCGUCGUCGUGGUGCGAGUCUUCAAUCGUUUUGGUGGAGGGAAGAAGGGAGGAAGGAAAGGGGGAGAAUCCAAGGUGAUUUUUGUGUUCAUCCCUUGUUCAUUUGCGCUGCAAUUUAAUUGAUUAGAGGUUGCGUUUGCGAUUGGGGUAGAGGGGGGCUGUCCAGAAUUUUAGGUGGUGGGUGAACAGCAGUAGUCUAGCAGUUUCUGUGUUUUUUCGUGAGGAAUUAAGGGAAAUCAGUUUGGGGAUCAUGUAGAACUUUACCUUACCUUUCCAACGAGUAUUUAUGCGCUCAAUUUGGAGUUAUAAAUUGAAAGAUAUCACCGUUUGAAUCCGGGUAUGUGGCUGUCAAAAAAACAGAUUUUUCAGGGGGAUGAACAGCAGCAGUAUUAGCAGUUUCUGGGGAUUUUUCGGGAGAAAUUAGUGUUAAUCAGUAUGAGAAUCAUGUAGGGCUUUAUGUUAUCUUUCCAACAAGUACUUAUGUGCUCGAUUCGGAGUUAUAAUUCAGGAGAUAUCGUUGUUUGAAUCCAAUUAUGUUGCUGUCCAAAAAAACAGAUUUUUCAGGUGGGUGAACAGCAGUGGUAUUAGCAGUUUCUGAGAAUUUUUCGUGUGUAAUUAGUGUUAACCAGUAUGGUAAUCAUGUAGGGAUUUGUCUUAUCUUUCCAAUGAGUACUUAUGCGCUUGAUUUGGAAUUAUAUUUUAAAAGAUAUCGUUGUUUGAAUCUGGGUAUGUCGCUGUCCAAAAGACAAAGAAAAACAGAUUACAGGGUUCAUCUUGUGGACUGUUUUGGGCUAAUUAGAUAUUGGAAUUUAAUUGUAAAUUGUAUACAAAACUUGUGGGGAAUCUUAUGUAGAUGCCUCUGGAGUUUUUUUUGUUACCACUGCUGUCAUAAUUUUAAAGUUAUGAAAUUAUUAAGCAGCGCCGCUGCAGUUUGGUGGGUGUAGGGAGAGAUGUAACCCGCGGCGGGGUUUGAGUUUGUGCGUAGGUACGGCGUCGCUUAUGAGCCUGAUUAUGUGAAAUUGGUGUACUAAGUUGGGUGUCAAAAACAGGUGGUGGGCUUCCGGAUCGUACUUGGGAUUUGCCCGAACUUUCGGUAAAGGCAAGUAAAUACAGUGGUGGUUGCUACCGUUUGGUUUGCAUCCUAUUCCCUGUCAUUGAGUAUGCAUAAGUUUUAAUUAUGUUAAUCAUUGAAUUCUAUGAUGAAGUUUAUUUGUUUGGAAGUAUUAAUUCUCAAUUGUCUAAUAUUGUGGAUGAUCAUAAUUUGGUAAUGAUAUAUGUGGUUGAUUCCCAUCUGGAUAAAGUUGAAGUGUCUUUUUGAAUCAUGUUAUAUGAAGUGUUGUAGGCAUGACAUGCACAUCGCAUCAUCCAUCUUGCAUUUUGAAGUUAUGUCGUGAUCUUAUGGUCCGACCGUACCGGUACAUUUUUAGCAUCGUACGUUGCCCGAGGAGGGGUACGAUGCGGCUUCAUAUCCUUAGAGGUAUGAAGGCAGAAGUCAUCCUUGCAUUUGCAGACAUUUGCACUCAUGAGGAAUAUAUGAAGUGUGACAUUACUAUGUUACUAUUGUGGUUUCUACCUGCGAGGUGUGGUAACUAGGUGCGUUGUACGUUGUAUACGUGUUGCACCUUCGUAAUAAGAAGGUUGUGGAAUUAAGUGGUGGUAAAACAAUGUUCUUAUGUGGUUAAACUGUUUGAUAUUAUUUUACUUGCUGAGAUGUGUCAUCUCACUCUUGCAUUACUCAAUGCAGGUACUUGAUACAUGUUGGGAAUGAGGGGAGUAGCAGCACGUCCACUUUCACUCUCACAAACGCUGCCCAGGCGCAGCCAUGAUUUAAUUAGAAACUUAUUGUCAAAGGAAGUUUGUUUUUUUUAUAUGGUCGUGCACACUGGUUAAUUCAGUUCAGGUCGUAUGUUUAUCUUUCCUUGCUAGCCGAGUAAUAAUACUUAGUAUGUUUUAGUCAUGAUAUAUGUUUAUACUCUGUUGCUCCCUCUUUUAUGCAAUCUUGCAAAGGGGAUGCUGCCGAAAUUUUAUAUAUGGACGUCGGAAGUGUAGUACAGUAGC
This 2181-nucleotide long non-coding RNA is filed under the name Zea mays. RNAcentral's name for it is "long non-coding RNA (ZMAY_LNC002162)". Lineage: Eukaryota; Viridiplantae; Streptophyta; Magnoliopsida; Poales; Poaceae. The record is from RNAcentral.